Molecule: ribosomal RNA, 334 nt
Filed under: Syntrophaceae bacterium
Lineage: Bacteria; Pseudomonadati; Thermodesulfobacteriota; Syntrophia; Syntrophales; Syntrophaceae
Description: partial 23S ribosomal RNA
Rfam family: Bacterial large subunit ribosomal RNA
Source: RNAcentral
UGAGCUGGGUUCAGAACGUCGUGAGACAGUUCGGUCCCUAUCUGUUGUGGGCGGAGGAUAUUUGAGAGGAGCUGUCCCUAGUACGAGAGGACCGGGAUGGACGAACCGAUGGUGUUCCAGUUGUCGUGCCAACGGCAUCGCUGGGUAGCUAAGUUCGGAAGGGAUAACCGCUGAAAGCAUCUAAGCGGGAAGCCCACCUCAAGAUAAGAUAUCCCUCUUGACGGAGACGUCAAGACUGAAGACCCCUCGUAGACGACGAGGUUGAUAGGUCAGAUGUGUAAGCACAGUAAUGUGUUCAGCUUGCUGAUACUAAUCGGUCGUGAGGCUUGACCAU